AUUUUGCCGAAGAAGAAGGCCUCAACGACGGCCGAUUCUGCUGUGUACGGUGGGCUUCAAUCUUGUAGCCUUAUAUCUCCUCGCAUUAGUUGAUUCAUGAGAGAUUUUCUUCAUUUGGGGUGAGGCGGCUGAGAGUGAAAUAGCGGUAGGGUUUGAUGCAUUUGGGGCCGGUUCAAGAGUCUAGACCCGUUUAUUUCUUUUCUUGGACACGUCAGCGUGUAACCCAGCAAGUCAAGCGACAAAUACGUGUAGCGGGAUUGUUAUUGUUCUUACCUUUUUUCUCUCGAUUGUACAAUUUCUUUUUUCGUUUCUUGUUUCAAUUGGAUAAGAAUUGUUAUUUGUGCAAUCGAGAUAAAAAAUUCAAGGAU
This 368-nucleotide long non-coding RNA is filed under the name Olea europaea (common olive). RNAcentral describes it as "long non-coding RNA (OEUR_LNC012254)". The record is from RNAcentral. Lineage: Eukaryota; Viridiplantae; Streptophyta; Magnoliopsida; Lamiales; Oleaceae.